Long non-coding RNA from Oncorhynchus tshawytscha (Chinook salmon), 366 nucleotides. The record is from Ensembl. NCBI's taxonomy places the organism in Eukaryota, Metazoa, Chordata, Actinopteri, Salmoniformes, Salmonidae.
ACUACACCUGUUGUAUUCAGCAUUUCACUGUAAGGUCUACCUACACCUGUUGUAUUCAGCAUUUCACUGUAAGGUCUACUACACCUGUUGUAUUCAGCAUUUCACUGUAAGGUCUACCUACACCUGUUGUAUUCAGCAUUUCACUGUAAGGUCUACUACACCUGUUGUAUUCAGCAUUUCACUGUAAGGUCUACCUACACCUGUUGUAUUCAGCAUUUCACUGUAAGGUCUACUACACCUGUUGUAUUCAACAUUUCACUGUAAGGUCUACUACACCUGUUGUAUUCAGCAUUUCACUGUAAGGUCUACUACACCUGUUGUAUUCAGCAUUUCACUGUAAGGUCUACUACACCUGUUGUAUUCAGC